UUAUUUAACCCCACGUAGUGGCAUGCACAUUGCACAUGCAAAUCUGUUAUUUAAAUACUUCUCUUUUUACCUUAAAUUGCCAUGUAGUGUAUGUAGUGUAUUUUCUCUUCUUGCUUCCUAAAAUGACUCCUGUCCUGUAUGGUUCUCUACUGUGGCACUGGACUGAUAUGGUAUGGUUUCUACUGUAGAUUCACCCCACCUCACUCCUAUGCUUCACCAUAAGGAGGUUAACACUGAAAACGGAUCUCAUAUCAGUGUCUAUGGGACAAAUUGAUGGUAUUGUGAUAUUAUAAUGUGAUGGUUGGGAGACUUUAUGGAAUGAAGAGUGACGGGCCUUGAGGGUUUCCAUUGUGACAGUAGAAGACGCUCCACACAUAUCUAGGGAAUCAACCCACGGUCGUCAAGAAUCUUGGUGUUGUCGCUGUGUGUGUGUUGUCACGUAAAGAUACACACACACACACACACACACACACACACACACGCACGCACACACACACACGCACGCACACGCACACACACACACACACACACGCACGCACACGCACACACACACACACUCACUGAAGCCUCCAAACAUGCACAUGCGCACAUACACACACGAUACUCACCCGUUCACCUGCGAAAGCAAUGUAAUGACAACAUACACAUAGGCCUUUGAAUGUUACGUUAUGUCGACCAAUGUACACUCUGUUAAAAGCACGAGUGCACCACCUUGUGUUCAUGUAUGGUAUAACAUGUACAUGGACAUUACUUGAGUGAGACUUCAAGCACAAUUGAAGAGUGGGAGUGAUGUUGUAGACACUAUGUCGCUCUGGAUUAGAGCAUCUACUAAAUGAUUGAAAUGUAAAUGUUGAAAAAUAAAUUGAGCGGCGAUAAAAGAGAAAAUAGAUGGACAUGGUCUGAUUGUUUCAGAAAGUUUAUGGAAGAUGUACACAAGAAGAGUUUACAGAGCAAAUGUACAGAGAGAGAAAGAGAAGGAUGACAGAUCCAACACAACGAUCACCUAUUCAUUCACCCAUGCCCUCCCUCCAGACCUUACUUGUCGAUCACAGAGAGAGAAGGAAUAGGAUGGUAGGUGAGGUGAGGCAAUACUGGAUGGAGAGAAGAGUACAGUUGGAGAGAAAACGUUAUGGAAACAUUAUGAAAGCGUUAUUCAGUGCUGUGUGUGUUGUCUAUCUACAAAGGAGAUUUGGUUCCUACUGUACAGUGUAAGGCACUGAAGAUAACUUACUGUAGAUGAGGUGUGAACACACGCACUCACGCACGCACGCACGCACUCACUCACACGCACGCACGCUCUCACACAUGCACGCACGCACACACUCUCUCACUCUCACACACACACACACACACACACACACACACACACACACACACACACACACACACACACACACACACACACACACACACACACACACACACACACACACACACACACAAACGUAGCAAACACACACGAACACAACACACAGGGGAAUGUCUCACUGUCAUGCCAGUAAACCCAUCCCUGAUGAGGUUGGUGACCCUCCACUCCAAAAUGAGCUGGGGGAUGCAGGUGGAGGUCAAUGAGAAAAUGGCAGCUGAUGACAUCAUAAUGAAGGCUGUAUUGGCAAGCGGAAGAAGGCGGAGCUAGAAAAUGAUCCAAGAACGUUCCAGUGCCAUUUGUGAAAUAAUGUGACUUGUGACACUACUUCUAACCGGGGUCUGUUCAGGAGGGUGCAAAUGUUACAGAAAACAUUCAGAUAGAAAUGCAUCAAGUAGAACGGAUAUGCUUGUCAGACUGACAGAAAAGGGUGUCGUGUCAGCUCUAUUCAUUACAUUUCUAUCUGUUCUUUUCCAGAACGUUUCACCUCAGCGGAACGUGCCCCCCCCCCGCUCUCACCCUGACCUUUGACCUCUAACCCUUUGACCCCAACACACACGCAUGCACACACCUAGUGCUGUACAAGGGGAGACCACACCACUGUAUGGUUUGAGAUACAUACAGAUGACUUUUGUCAGCACUACUGUACCUGCACAUGAAACCCCUUUAGUUUGUUAGGAGAGCCCUUAUUUCUGUUUCAACACACACUAGCCUCACACACCAAUCAUUUACAUCAUUUCACAAACGCACAACAGUUGAUUGAUUGAGUGAAUGGGGUUGGAUUGGCUUUCGGAGGACGUCUGUUGUCUCAAAGAGGAGGAAAAAAUGAUAGAGAGAACGAGAGACAAACGGAUGAGUCGAUCAAGAAGUCACAUCAGAAAUAGAAAGGAAAGACAACAAAUAAAUGGAUAGGAACGUAGGAUGGAUGAAUGAUUGAGAGUAAACUAGAAACUUCGUAAAUCCUCCUUUUCACAAAUCUUCUGGAUUAUUUUUUUUUUUAUAAACAAAAUAAACCCCUUAAAAUGGUCAUUCAUUUUAUAAUGGUUGGAGCUCACAAUCCACACAACAUGCUUUAAUUCAACGGCAGUGUUGUGUGUCGAUGUCGGCCAUUUUGGAUCCGCAGUUACAAUUCUGGACAAGCAUGUUGGUGUUGUUGAGCCGAAAUGGAGUAAUCAGUUUCCUGCCUGAUAAGUGGACACCCACAGUGUCAAGUGCAAGUAGUUUUCAGCGGCAGAUUCAUGAUGAAUGGUAGGUGGUCUGUAAUGGAGGUUAAGGGAAGAAGGGAAGACAUUACAAAUGCCCAUGCCAGAUAACAAACCAUACAGAAACUCAAACCCUAGGCCUAUAUUUUUUCAUGUGAUUUUAUAAAUUUAUAUCAUAUUAUAUGAUAUAACUGACUAACUGCCUUAGCGUGCCUAUUAUAUAGUGUAGAUUCUAUCUAUCUAGCUAUCUAUCUCUAGAGACACCUGAGAAGUAAACAAAUCAUUGCCUUUUCGCCCCUGCAAUUACAGUAUCUCACUACACUGUGUGAAACUGGGCGAAGGAGAUCCCCAAAAGUAGUUUCCAUUCCCCUCUCUUCCUGCGCUUUACUCACUGUUCCAACCAACUAAGCAAAGCCCAGUCCCUACUGCCUUGCUCCCAACUGCUACCUGCUCACAGACAGCGACUAGGACUCUUUAAGGCGUAGUGUGUUUGAUGUUGAUCAACCACAGGAGGGGGCGAGGGGGAUGGUGAGGGGCAAGCUGGGAAGGGUAGAUGUGACUCUGAAAACAGAAGGCACUGAGGCACUGGGGCUUCUGGGUAGAUAAACACCUCUCUGAUGUAGGUACACCACUCUGAUGUAGGCCCCCCGCUCUCUCUGGACCUACCUAUACAGAGGGCAGGGGUGGUAUAUGUAGGACCCCCCCCCUCUCUGGACCUACCUAUACGGAGGGCAGGGGUGGUAUAUGUAGCCCCCCCUCUCUGGACCUACCUAUACGGACGGCAGGGGUGGUAUAUGUAGGCCCCUCUCUCUCUGGACCUACCUAUACGGAGGGCAGGGGUGGUAGAUGUAGCCCCCCC
Molecule: long non-coding RNA, 3427 nt
Filed under: Salmo salar (Atlantic salmon)
Lineage: Eukaryota; Metazoa; Chordata; Actinopteri; Salmoniformes; Salmonidae
Description: lncRNA (ENSSSAG00000093693.1)
Source: RNAcentral